Molecule: ribosomal RNA, 867 nt
Filed under: Xylodon sp.
Lineage: Eukaryota; Fungi; Basidiomycota; Agaricomycetes; Hymenochaetales; Schizoporaceae
Description: partial large subunit ribosomal RNA
Rfam family: Eukaryotic large subunit ribosomal RNA
Source: RNAcentral
AGGAUUCCCCUAGUAACUGCGAGUGAAGCGGGAAGAGCUCAAAUUUAAAAUCUAGUGGUUUCACCGCUCGAGUUGUAAUCUGGAGAAGUGUUUUCCGCGUCGGACCGUGUACAAGUCUCUUGGAACAGAGCUUCAUAGAGGGUGAGAGUCCCGUCCAUGACACGGAUUACCGAUGCUUUGUGAUACGCUCUCAAAGAGUCGAGUUGUUUGGGAAUGCAGCUCAAAAUGGGUGGUAAAUUCCAUCUAAAGCUAAAUAUUGGCGAGAGACCGAUAGCGAACAAGUACCGUGAGGGAAAGAUGAAAAGCACUUUGGAAAGAGAGUUAAACAGUACGUGAAAUUGUUGAAAGGGAAACGCUUGAAGUCAGUCGCGUCUGCUGGAACUCAGCCUUGCUCUUGCUUGGUGUACUUUCUGGUUGACGGGUCAACAUCAAUUUCGGCCGGCGGAUAAAGGUUGAGGGAAUGUGGCAUCUUCGGAUGUGUUAUAGCCCUCUUCUAUACUCUGGCUGGGAUUGAGGACUGCAGCACGCCUUUUGGCCGGGGGUUCGCCUCACGUAACGUGCUUAGGAUGUUGGCAUAAUGGCUUUAAGCGACCCGUCUUGAAACACGGACCAAGGAGUCUAACAUGCUCGCGAGUGUUAGGGUGGAAAACCCUUGCGCAUAAUGAAAGUGAAAGUUGGGACCCUUCGCGGGGGCACCGACGCCCGGCCCUGAAGUUUACUGACGGUGCCGCGGUAGAGCGCGUAUGUUGGGACCCGAAAGAUGGUGAACUAUGCCUGAAUAGGGUGAAGCCAGGGGAAACUCUGGUGGAGGCUCGUAGCGAUUCUGACGUGCUAAAUCGAUGCGUCAAAUUUGGGUAUAGGGGCGAA